This 468-nucleotide ribosomal RNA is filed under the name uncultured bacterium. Its description in RNAcentral is "partial 16S ribosomal RNA". It matches the Rfam family "Bacterial small subunit ribosomal RNA", at positions 28 to 507 of the family's 1533-position model. The record is from RNAcentral.
GACGAACGCUGGCGGCGUGCUUAACGCAUGCAAGUCGAACGGAAAGGCCCUGCUUUUGUGGGGUGCUCGAGUGGCGAACGGGUGAGUAACACGUGAGUAACCUGCCCUUGACUUUGGGAUAACUUCAGGAAACUGGGGCUAAUACCGGAUAGGAGCUCCUGCUGCAUGGUGGGGGUUGGAAAGUUUCGGCGGUUGGGGAUGGACUCGCGGCUUAUCAGCUUGUUGGUGGGGUAGUGGCUUACCAAGGCUAUGACGGGUAGCCGGCCUGAGAGGGUGACCGGCCACAUUGGGACUGAGAUACGGCCCAGACUCCUACGGGAGGCAGCAGUGGGGAAUAUUGCACAAUGGGCGGAAGCCUGAUGCAGCAACGCCGCGUGCGGGAUGACGGCCUUCGGGUUGUAAACCGCUUUCGCCUGUGACGAAGCGUGAGUGACGGUAAUGGGUAAAGAAGCACCGGCUAACUACGUG